This 532-nucleotide ribosomal RNA is filed under the name Bolbitius vitellinus. RNAcentral's name for it is "eukaryotic LSU rRNA". It matches the Rfam family "Eukaryotic large subunit ribosomal RNA", at positions 77 to 609 of the family's 3401-position model. Lineage: Eukaryota; Fungi; Basidiomycota; Agaricomycetes; Agaricales; Bolbitiaceae. The record is from RNAcentral.
CCCCUAGUAACUGCGAGUGAAGCGGGAAAAGCUCAAAUUUAAAAUCUGGCAGUCUUUGAUUGUCCGAGUUGUAAACUAGAGAAGUGUUAUCCGCGCUGGACCGUGUAAAAGUCUCCUGGAAUGGAGCAUCAUAGAGGGUGAGAAUCCCGUCUUUGACAUGGACUACCAGUGCUUUGUGAUGCGCUCUCAAAGAGUCGAGUUGUUUGGGAAUGCAGCUCAAAAUGGGUGGUAAAUUCCAUCUAAAGCUAAAUAUUGGCGAGAGACCGAUAGCGAACAAGUACCGUGAGGGAAAGAUGAAAAGAACUUUGGAAAGAGAGUUAAACAGUACGUGAAAUUGCUGAAAGGGAAACGCUUGAAGUCAGUCGCGUCGGCCAGGAAUCAACCUUGCUUUUGCUGGGCGUACUUUCUGGUUGACGGGUCAGCAUCAAUUUUGACUGCUGGAAAAAGUUCAAGGGAAUGUGGCAUCUUCGGAUGUGUUAUAGCCCUUGUUCGCAUACAGCAGUUGGGAUUGAGGUACUCAGCAGGGAAAAAA